AAGAUUCCCAUGAGCAGACUUAACUUCUGCCCUCUUGAACCCUUCUCCCCCUCUUGAACCCUUCUCCCCCUCCCGGACCAUCGCCGCUGAUCUGCUCUACUUCCUGACUGAUAUCAUCAACCCUUCCCUGACAUCUGGCUGUGAACCAUCUGUCUUUGAGUCAGAUAGAGCCCCUGCUCUUGUCUCGAAACCUUCUCUUGACCCGUCUGACAUCCAUUAGACACUGCUGUCAAGCCUUUCUUCAGCACUCCUUGCCAACUCAAGCCAACUCAAGGCUCUGUUGUAGUUUUGUUAGCCCUCCUCUUGUGCCAGCCGGAUAUGCCAGGAGACUGUGGGCCCCGCAGACGGACUGGCAAGUGGACCCUCUACAGCAGUGAUGCUUAACUUAAGGCUUUUCUUAUUCAAAAUGAAAAUAAAUUGAUUCACUGUGGGAA
This is a long non-coding RNA of Dicentrarchus labrax (European seabass), 434 nucleotides long. RefSeq lists it as uncharacterized. NCBI's taxonomy places the organism in Eukaryota, Metazoa, Chordata, Actinopteri, Moronidae. The record is from RefSeq and is a predicted model, not a curated record. The transcript is spliced from 2 exons.